CCCCUCUAAGGAUGGCACCUGGAGAGUUUCCAGUUCUCUACCAGUCUCCACUAGGGUAGGGAGAGUCAAGCAGAGACAUACCCAUUCCACUCCUAACUUGGGCAGUGACUAGUGAGUGGAAGGCAAUCUGCUACAAAU
Molecule: small nucleolar RNA, 138 nt
Filed under: Ornithorhynchus anatinus (platypus)
Lineage: Eukaryota; Metazoa; Chordata; Mammalia; Monotremata; Ornithorhynchidae
Source: RNAcentral